AUUAAGCACCACAAAUCAUAGAUUUUUAUACACAAAUCAUAAAGACAUACACAUUUAAUCAGUAUACAACAGUCAUAGAUCCAUCACAUAAACACAAAAGCACCACAAUUAUAUAUUCACAAAAGCAUCACAAUUAUAAUAUCAUUCACAACUAGAUCACUAAUGUUUCAUAUCACUCUAACUAUCACUCUAACUAUUGUUCAAAAGCCCACAACUAUAUCACUCUAGCUGCUCCAGAGCUGAUCAGUCACAAAAGCACCAAAGCUACACUAAUGCUUAGUUCAAAAGCCUUCAGACAACCACUCCAGCUUCUUGUAUCCUCCUGUUUUAAGGUACAAACUUUCUUUGUCCAGAACACCCUAGAAAAAGGUACAUCAAAUUAGUAUAUUGUUGCUGUAUUUGCAAAUAAAAAUACAGUUUUGAUGCCUUAUCUACCUCCACUAGAUGGUGUUGCAGCCUUAUGCACAAACUUCAGCUGGUGCAAUCAAGGUUAAUCAUCAUUAAGUUGCUGGCUCAUAUAAAUCUAAACAUAAACAAGAUAAGAUAUAAACAGAAAUAUACAUAUGAACUAAUAACUCACUAGAAGGAACUUGAAUGACUUCUUCAUGACAACAAACUAGCGUACUUCCAAGGCACCCUGAGCGCUGAACACUUGACCACAAAACAAGAGUCUCAUAUUAAUUAUAGUAUGAACUAUGAGCAAAGUAAAUUUCUAACAGCUAUAGAAAAAAUGAAAGAUAAAUUGGGCCAAUAUCCAUCUAAUAAGCCAAUCAAUAUCCACCUGGUUCCACCUCUCUGAAUUCCAAUAAAUAGGAAAAAUAUAUGUGAUAGCAAAAUAAAUCUGGAGCACAAUAUCACUUUGUUACAAGUACAGGCCAAAAGUCCAUUUAACAAUAUAAAAUAAUUGGGCAGUAAGCACUAAAGUUCGCAUUUUCAACCACGACAGCACAAAAGGCCAAAAAUGUGUAUUAACAAAAUUACCACAGCUCCUAUCCUGAAAGAAAUUAGAGUAUUAAAAUGCACUACUAUUUAUAUCAAUAUCCAUCCACAACAUAUUUCAUAUUUCAAGUACAUAGAAAAUAGAAUUCCAUCAAGAUAAGUACAACCACAAAAAGAUGGGCCAAGGCACAGAAAUAUAAUCAGAAUCAAUGGUAACAUCAGAAAUAGAAGGGCAAUAACCUAUCUUAUUUCAAAGGAUACAUAAUAGUCACUACGCAGACAAAAAGGGUGGGUACACAAGAAAUCCUGCACAUGACCUACUACUCCAUAGAUUUAUCUCCCACUUAAUUUGCUUCCUUUCUAUAUCCAUGGUUGUUGGACUCGAGGUUGAUCAUGAGCUUCAACUCAUAUGAUCAGAUUUAGUGGGACCUACUGCUAUGAUUAAUUUGCUUCUUGGUCCACCUAAAUCUAGAAUUUAAUGAAGCUAUACAAAAGAGAAGGGCUAUGGGAUAUAGAUAGUGGAUUUUCACAUGAACAUAUAGAAGCAUAAAGAAACCCUAUCCAUACGACAGCAAUGCUUGUAUGUAGACUUGCAGGCCACAUGUGUCCAUCGUGUGCCAUAGAAUAAUGGACGUGCGCUGCUGCAGAUUAGGAGAACCAACCAACCUAUCUUGUACUCUGUAAGAGUCCAAAACUGAACAGAGGCAACUGUCGAAAGGGAUUCUCACAAAGAAAAGGCAUGGGUUGCUGUGAGUAAAACUACAUUAUCCCAAGGACACUGUUCCAUGUAGGAGUAGGAUUCGUCGCUAGUGUUUGUUCCGCAUUGGGCUUGGGUAAUACCCAUCGGACAUCACUUCCUUCCAGCUUCAAAGGCGAGCAGAACAUGAGCAACAUUAAUUUGUGCUUAUUUAUAAACAAGAAGACGAUGUGCUUAUUACAAGAAGACGAUGAGCAACAUUAAUUUGAGCAACCUACCUUUGCUCGACGGGAGGCCGCUACCGUUGCUCGACGGGAGGCCGCCGCCAUGGUUGCUCCGCGGGGCUUGGCCGGCCUGGGCGCCGAGCUGAGGGAAGGGACGAGAGAGCUGAGGGCAGAGAGAUA
Molecule: long non-coding RNA, 2040 nt
Filed under: Zea mays
Lineage: Eukaryota; Viridiplantae; Streptophyta; Magnoliopsida; Poales; Poaceae
Description: long non-coding RNA (ZMAY_LNC000868)
Source: RNAcentral